RNAcentral lists this ribosomal RNA (524 nucleotides) under Leuciscus leuciscus (common dace). RNAcentral describes it as "partial 16S ribosomal RNA". It matches the Rfam family "Bacterial large subunit ribosomal RNA", at positions 1930 to 2606 of the family's 2925-position model. Lineage: Eukaryota; Metazoa; Chordata; Actinopteri; Cypriniformes; Leuciscidae. The record is from RNAcentral.
GCCGCGGUAUUUUGACCGUGCAAAGGUAGCGCAAUCACUUGUCUCUUAAAUAGAGACCUGUAUGAAUGGCUAGACGAGGGCUUAACUGUCUCCCCCUUCCAGUCAGUGAAAUUGAUCUAUCCGUGCAGAAGCGGGUAUAAUUAUACAAGACGAGAAGACCCUUUGGAGCUUAAGGUACAAAGUUCAACCACGUUAAACGACUCCACAGAAAGCAAGAACUUAGUGGCAAAUGAAACUUUACCUUCGGUUGGGGCGACCACGGAGGAAAAGAAAGCCUCCGAGUGGACUGGGUUAAAUCCCCAAAGCCAAGAGAUACAUCUAUAAGCCGCAGAACAUCUGACCAAAAAUGAUCCGGCUGAGAAGCCGAUCGACGAACCAAGUUACCCUAGGGAUAACAGCGCAAUCCUCUCCCAGAGUCCAUAUCGACGAGGGGGUUUACGACCUCGAUGUUGGAUCAGGACAUCCUAAUGGUGCAGCCGCUAUUAAGGGUUCGUUUGUUCAACGAUUAAAGUCCUACGUGAUCU